UUAAGCGACUAAGCGUACACGGUGGAUGCCCUGGCAGUCAGAGGCGAUGAAGGACGUGCUAAUCUGCGAUAAGCGUCGGUAAGGUGAUAUGAACCGUUAUAACCGGCGAUUCCCGAAUGGGGAAACCCAGUGUGAUUCGUCACACUAUCAUUAACUGAAUCCAUAGGUUAAUGAGGCGAACCGGGGGAACUGAAACAUCUAAGUACCCCGAGGAAAAGAAAUCAACCGAGAUUCCCCCAGUAGCGGCGAGCGAACGGGGAGGAGCCCAGAGCCUGAAUCAGUGUGUGUGUUAGUGGAAGCGUCUGGAGAGGCGCGCGAUACAGGGUGACAGCCCCGUACACAAAAAUGCACAUGCUGUGAGCUCGAUGAGUAGGGCGGGACACGUGGUAUCCUGUCUGAAUAUGGGGGGACCAUCCUCCAAGGCUAAAUACUCCUGACUGACCGAUAGUGAACCAGUACCGUGAGGGAAAGGCGAAAAGAACCCCGGCGAGGGGAGUGAAAAAGAACCUGAAACCGUGUACGUACAAGCAGUGGGAGCACAGAGCAAUCUGUGUGACUGCGUACCUUUUGUAUAAUGGGUCAGCGACUUAUAUUCUGUAGCAAGGUUAACCGAAUAGGGGAGCCGAAGGGAAACCGAGUCUUAACCGGGCGUUAAGUUGCAGGGUAUAGACCCGAAACCCGGUGAUCUAGCCAUGGGCAGGUUGAAGGUUGGGUAACACUAACUGGAGGACCGAACCGACUAAUGUUGAAAAUUAGCGGAUGACUUGUGGCUGGGGUGAAAGGCCAAUCAAACCGGGAGAUAGCUGGUUCUCCCCGAAAGCUAUUUAGGUAGCGCCUCGUGAAUUCAUCUCCGGGGGUAGAGCACUGUUUCGGCAAGGGGGUCAUCCCGACUUACCAACCCGAUGCAAACUGCGAAUACCGGAGAAUGUUAUCACGGGAGACACACGGCGGGUGCUAACGUCCGUCGUGAAGAGGGAAACAACCCAGACCGCCAGCUAAGGUCCCAAAGUCAUGGUUAAGUGGGAAACGAUGUGGGAAGGCCCAGACAGCCAGGAUGUUGGCUUAGAAGCAGCCAUCAUUUAAAGAAAGCGUAAUAGCUCACUGGUCGAGUCGGCCUGCGCGGAAGAUGUAACGGGGCUAAACCAUGCACCGAAGCUGCGGCAGCGACACUGUGUGUUGUUGGGUAGGGGAGCGUUCUGUAAGCCUGUGAAGGUGUGCUGUGAGGCAUGCUGGAGGUAUCAGAAGUGCGAAUGCUGACAUAAGUAACGAUAAAGCGGGUGAAAAGCCCGCUCGCCGGAAGACCAAGGGUUCCUGUCCAACGUUAAUCGGGGCAGGGUGAGUCGACCCCUAAGGCGAGGCCGAAAGGCGUAGUCGAUGGGAAACAGGUUAAUAUUCCUGUACUUGGUGUUACUGCGAAGGGGGGACGGAGAAGGCUAUGUUGGCCGGGCGACGGUUGUCCCGGUUUAAGCGUGUAGGCUGGUUUUCCAGGCAAAUCCGGAAAAUCAAGGCUGAGGCGUGAUGACGAGGCACUACGGUGCUGAAGCAACAAAUGCCCUGCUUCCAGGAAAAGCCUCUAAGCAUCAGGUAACAUCAAAUCGUACCCCAAACCGACACAGGUGGUCAGGUAGAGAAUACCAAGGCGCUUGAGAGAACUCGGGUGAAGGAACUAGGCAAAAUGGUGCCGUAACUUCGGGAGAAGGCACGCUGAUAUGUAGGUGAAGUCCCUCGCGGAUGGAGCUGAAAUCAGUCGAAGAUACCAGCUGGCUGCAACUGUUUAUUAAAAACACAGCACUGUGCAAACACGAAAGUGGACGUAUACGGUGUGACGCCUGCCCGGUGCCGGAAGGUUAAUUGAUGGGGUCAGCGCAAGCGAAGCUCUUGAUCGAAGCCCCGGUAAACGGCGGCCGUAACUAUAACGGUCCUAAGGUAGCGAAAUUCCUUGUCGGGUAAGUUCCGACCUGCACGAAUGGCGUAAUGAUGGCCAGGCUGUCUCCACCCGAGACUCAGUGAAAUUGAACUCGCUGUGAAGAUGCAGUGUACCCGCGGCAAGACGGAAAGACCCCGUGAACCUUUACUAUAGCUUGACACUGAACAUUGAGCCUUGAUGUGUAGGAUAGGUGGGAGGCUUUGAAGUGUGGACGCCAGUCUGCAUGGAGCCGACCUUGAAAUACCACCCUUUAAUGUUUGAUGUUCUAACGUGGACCCGUGAUCCGGGUUGCGGACAGUGUCUGGUGGGUAGUUUGACUGGGGCGGUCUCCUCCUAAAGAGUAACGGAGGAGCACGAAGGUUGGCUAAUCCUGGUCGGACAUCAGGAGGUUAGUGCAAUGGCAUAAGCCAGCUUGACUGCGAGCGUGACGGCGCGAGCAGGUGCGAAAGCAGGUCAUAGUGAUCCGGUGGUUCUGAAUGGAAGGGCCAUCGCUCAACGGAUAAAAGGUACUCCGGGGAUAACAGGCUGAUACCGCCCAAGAGUUCAUAUCGACGGCGGUGUUUGGCACCUCGAUGUCGGCUCAUCACAUCCUGGGGCUGAAGUAGGUCCCAAGGGUAUGGCUGUUCGCCAUUUAAAGUGGUACGCGAGCUGGGUUUAGAACGUCGUGAGACAGUUCGGUCCCUAUCUGCCGUGGGCGCUGGAGAACUGAGGGGGGCUGCUCCUAGUACGAGAGGACCGGAGUGGACGCAUCACUGGUGUUCGGGUUGUCAUGCCAAUGGCACUGCCCGGUAGCUAAAUGCGGAAGAGAUAAGUGCUGAAAGCAUCUAAGCACGAAACUUGCCCCGAGAUGAGUUCUCCCUCGACCCUUUAAGGGUCCUGAAGGAACGUUGAAGACGACGACGUUGAUAGGCCGGGUGUGUAAGCGCAGCGAUGCGUUGAGCUAACCGGUACUAAUGAACCGUGAGGCUUAACCUU
Molecule: ribosomal RNA, 2902 nt
Filed under: Escherichia coli DEC4D
Lineage: Bacteria; Pseudomonadati; Pseudomonadota; Gammaproteobacteria; Enterobacterales; Enterobacteriaceae
Description: bacterial LSU rRNA
Rfam family: Bacterial large subunit ribosomal RNA
Source: RNAcentral